RNA transcript from Manis pentadactyla (Chinese pangolin), 3864 nucleotides. It is a transcript of the gene named short chain dehydrogenase/reductase family 9C member 7, with no coding region annotated. The transcript is spliced from 2 exons. The record is from RefSeq and is a predicted model, not a curated record. NCBI's taxonomy places the organism in Eukaryota, Metazoa, Chordata, Mammalia, Pholidota, Manidae.
AGUGGGAAGUCAGAUCAUGUCCUUCCUUCCACAGAAGCAGGGGCAGGGGGUGGGGUGAAGUCUAAUGUCUCCUCUCCAGGAUUGGUCAAGUACCUGGGGUCACAGGAUUAGACACGAGAUAGACAGGCAAGGAGAGGUCAUUCAGUCACUGGCAGGGCUCAGACCUUUCCCUGGAGAUAUCCAGCCCCUCCCCUCUGCAGCAACCUCUCUGUGACCCUCUAUCUGUCCCCUCCUUCAGAGUCACCACCCUCUGUCCUGGCCACCCCAGUCUUCCCUGCCCAGGGCCACUUGCCGCACCCUACAGUGGAGGGCAGGAAGAGCGUCUUCUGGGUCCGAGUCUUCGGCUGUUUGUGUUCACUGCUAACCUUUGUUGCCCACCUACUGUGUGCAGGCAGGAUCCCUUCAUUAACCUGAGCCUCCUGAGGCCCUGACUCUCCCAGAAUCCACUGUUCUGCGGACCUUCCCAGUAAGGACUCAGCAAAGAAAGCGUUUGCAGAAGUGGUACAGAUUCUAGGGCUGCAAACACUGUGGAGUUGGGUGGGGUGGUCUUAGUUUUGUUCCCUCUGCUAAAACCAAGGGUAGGGAGCUUUUGGGGAACUUUCAUCUGUAGAGCAGUAUCAGUGUCUCAGUGAAAGGUGGCUGAGCCCUUCCUUCUCCCCCUGAAGUGAGGGCUUGGUGUCAGAGAAAGGGCUGCUUUAGUCACAAAGGUGACCGGCAGGCUCCUCGAGGAUUUCUGAGCCCUUCACAGCUCAGGUCAGCCUACUCCAGGUCAAUCCAUGGCCCCAACUGAAAGGCAAAGCAAGAUCUUCAUGCUUCACCUGAAGCCCCCAGAGUUUCAUAAUGUUACUGAUGUUACUUUAAAAAUAAAAGUUAAAUUUACUAGCAAAAAUGGGCUUACUUGGGAUAGCAGAGAAUUCCAAUCUUGAACGUGCAAGCUAUGGCAAAACCACAGGUAAGCCCAGAGCAAGUGGAAAGCUCUUACAGAAAAAGGAGCUGAGUUGGGAGAGCAGGUGCGGGCAUAAAGCCCAGCGGAGCAAACUGGCAGUUCCUCAUCCUGGCUGUGCCGUGACAGUCUCAGCAGCUGGACUUUACUGGGAGGCACAGGUGGAACCUCCUUGCUGGGGUGGAAGGUGAGUGCAGCAGCUUGGCCUCGUCUCUGCUGGUGGGGUCUGAAACGCUGGCAGAGGGGUGUGUAGAGGGCCUACCCACUGACCUGCUCCCCUCCUGCUCCAUGUCAUCGAGGUUUCCCUUUAUUAGCAUUCACACUGACCUGCACACGCAGCCAAAGGUCCUGAACAAACAGAGAUAAAAGGGAGGAUGGCUGAGUUUGCAGCCUGGGGGCCAUGUGUUCAGGAGGGCUGGACUCAGCCCCAGGAGUCCCCUCCAGAAUGUCAGAGAACCGUGAGGGACAAACCCCUGUCCCUUCAUGCUGGGGUCUACAGAGGGGCCAGGGCUGUAGCCAGAUAGGUGCCUUGGCCCAGGCUGUGGCCUGAGACUCGAGGGUGCCAACUUUCAAAGGCAGAGCCACAGUGGUGGUGAAAAAGAAGUCCAAUGCAAACAGCCCAGGUCCUCAGUCUAGACCCUCAGUGAACCCAAGUUGUCCUCCUUGCAGGCUUCUUCCUUGAGGAGGGAGCCAGAUUCAGUCUGAUGGGUUAGAACCCUGGCCACGGGCAUGCCACGAGAGUCCGAGGUGCCACAAAGAAGCUGCCCUCACUGUCCAUCUUUGAUGUCCUUGUUCUUUCUGAGGAGCACAGGGUCAGUGACUCCUGACCCACAACUCAUCUCUUCCAAGCAUCAGAUCUCCAGCCGUGAAGGCACGGAUGUGUCUGCACAUUUUGGGGUCCCAUCUGCAGGUGUGUGUGAGGGCGUUGCAUGCCUGUAGGGCUGGAAAGGAGCUUGCACAAGUAACCCUACUCCCAGUCCUUUCCCUCACCUUGUCUCCCCUUCUCUGGAAAACCGACCCUGAGGGGAGCAGGGGAAUGGGGGGGUGGGGAGGGUGGGGGAGGGUGAGUGCUUCGCCCCGCCUCCUUGACAGUGAUCCCUGCGGGCUUUCUGCAGAGCACCACCAGGGGUCGCGCGUGGCCCGCAGUGCAGUCCCUGGGCGGCCCAGCAACUCUUCGGCAGGCCGUGCCGUGGGGUGGCGAUCGCCGCGGCUGGACGCCCGGUGCAGGGUCAGCGCAGAAUCGCUCCGGCCAGCGUCCAACCCCCGGCACAGCUGCAGGAUUUCACGCUGUGGCCCCGGCCGUUCCGAGAUGAGUGAGGGUCACCCCGGGCUCCUUCUCCCCCGUACCGCUCUCUUCCGAACUUCCGGCGAUCCUUCCAGCCUGCGAUGGACUCCUCAGCUCCUGGCACCCUUGGCAAGUGGGCACGUUACUUCCCUACUCACAAGCGUGAAGCAGCAGGCGUGCGGGCUGGGAGAUGGCUGUGCUGCACGGCCCCUUAGGAACUUAUGGUCGAGGAAAUGUGUGGUCACAUUUGCAGUUCCUACCAAGCAAAGGCACCAGAACCUUACGCCGAACAGUGUCCCGUCACUGGUCAGAACUGCAUGUCGCCCCGUCCCCUUUGAGUUUCCAGGGCUCCUUCCUUCCGCCAGCCUUUUUCCUCCCCCACCUUUGGGAAGACUCGUAGGAGGGUCCUGGCCGGCUCCGCAGCAUCAGGACCCGGCUGCUUUCUGCAGGACCAGCCAUGUUGUGCUGCUCUGCCUCCCACCUGGAGGAAUGGACCCUUUCAGGGCUGCAGCCAGCGCUCAGCAGUCCCACCUACAACCAAAGGGGACAAUGAGGAAGGCGCCCAGAGCAGAGACACUGGCUUCUUUUGUGCCUUCCCCAGACCAGCGCCUUUUAUAAGGUGGUCUCCUCCUCCUCACCCUGAGCUCCUCCAGGGUCAGCGAUUCUGGGGUGCAGUCUCUAGGCCUUUCUUCAGUCUCCUGAGGGGCGCCCGCCCCCCAGCCCCUCCACCAUCACCCUGAUACAGAUUGAGCUAGUUCCUUACUUGGUGCCUUCACGCAUCAGGGCUGGGGGAGAGAGAGUGGCAGCCGCCAGGGCUGUGUGAGGUGACAAGGCUUCAGGUCGGACUUGAAUUUCUUGCAUCUAGGCUAAUUGGUGUGGUGAUGCAUCCGCCUUCAGAAGUUAUAGUGUGGCUCACCCAGGGGCCCUGUGUCUGUUGCCAGGGGUGGAAGAGAGGAGAGCUCUUCUCAGCAGGGUGCAGCCUCUCCCACUGUCCCCUGAGCCUGAGCCUUCUUGCCUCCCCCUGCUCUAUGGCGGCUCUCAUGGACCUCUCUUUUAUGUAUCGCUGGUUCAAGAACUGCAAUCUGGUCCCCAACCUCCCAGACAAGUACGUCUUCAUCACGGGCUGCGACUCGGGCUUCGGGAACCUGCUGGCCAGGCAGCUGGUGGAUCGGGGCAUGCGGGUGCUGGCUACUUGCUUCACGGAGGAGGGGGCCCAGAAGCUUCAGCAGGAUACAUCCUACCGACUGCAGACCACACUACUGGAUGUCACCAAGACUGAGAGCAUCCAGGCGGUGGCCCAGUGGGUGAGGGACCAAGUGGGUGAGCAAGGUUCUGGGGGUCAGCCUGGAAAGCUCUCAGGAUUGCAAAGCACAGGCUGGAAGCCACUGUUCUAGUCUACCUGAUGAAGAGAGAGGAAGUGACUUAUCCAAGCUGUGGACAGAAGCAGGUCUAGAACCUGAGGUUCUUUAAGCCUGGGCCCCUGCAGUGCUGAAUGACAAUACCAAUUAUUGUUUCUUUCCAUUUACACCAACUCAAAUGAAAUAUGUCAGAGAUAGCCCUGCUCAUGUUUUCCCAAAAUUAUCUUAUUUAAAUGGCUAUGUAUUGAUUUUUGAAUAAAUGUUAUAUAUUUAUUUAC